Xenopus tropicalis (tropical clawed frog) is the source of this 1770-nucleotide long non-coding RNA. RefSeq lists it as uncharacterized. The record is from RefSeq and is a predicted model, not a curated record. The transcript is spliced from 5 exons. Lineage: Eukaryota; Metazoa; Chordata; Amphibia; Anura; Pipidae.
AUGGGGCUAUUAUACGAGAGGGUACAGACUGGGCAGGUAACUAAGCCUGGGAUUCCCAGCAUGCUUUGCUUUGUACCCCCGGGUACAUUAUUGUGCAGGAUAUACCACUGGGGGCAGCUCCUAUGAUACAGAAACUGUGCCGCUGACCUGAUUGGUCACAGACUGGGCAGUACAGUGUUUGGGGAAUAAGGCAUAGAUUCCACUUUUCCCUUUCUAAUGCUAAUUUAAACACAAGUGUGUAAUACAAUAGUGAGUGUUUAAUAGGCUGGGUGGGAUCUUUGGCUGGUAGUGGCUGCCUAACUGAUGGGCCAGAUUGGGCAGUUCCAUUCAUCAGGCCCCUGGGACCCAGAUACAUGGGAGGGGGGUUGUAUAUAGGGGCAGGGUUGUCUUGUUGCACUGAGCCCUACGCACUCCUCAGCUAGGGGUAUUCUCUGUGCAGGGAAGGCACUGAGGCCAUUGUAUUAAAGGGUUAAUGGGCUUCCUGAGCAGAACUGCAGGGAGAACCCCACUGACCAAUUGCGUUGGCCAGUGAGAAGUUUGGAGAGUCGCAGCCGCUUUUCUGUAUUGGUGCCGCCUGUCACUCAGGUCUCUUAAGCGGCCUGUGCCAAGUCUUUCCUGCCCCCAUUGUCCCCGGUGUUAGUGUGGCUGUGUGCGAGGGCUGAAAUCUCUGUGUGAGCACUAACACCUUCCUGCUUGGCUUCUAAUGGACCUUCCCUCUUGUCUCUAACUAGAAUGGGUUUUUCCAUCAGCACGGCGCCCCCACCAGCGACACCAAAGUAAAGUACAACAGCCGCAGCGCCCAGAUGUACCGGGAGAAGGUCAGACAGCUGGCGAAUGCUGCCAUGUCUAAGCCUGGCACUGAUCUCUGGAUCGAUGGGAUGAACUGCGCUCUCGUUCAGCCGGCAGAGAAGAAAGAAUCGGACUUUUUUGCAGAGAUGACCCAGCCUUCCAGCUCCUGGGAGGCAACCCCAGCAUCAGAACCCGCAUCUACCCUGUAACCCCUGUAACAAGAACUAUACGCUCCCCGGAACCUGCUGAUUCUGCAAAUGCAGAGAGUGGGCCCAGUGUGGACAAUCUAAACACAUCCCCAAAAGCUGCCGUGGGUGGGCAUCUCAGGAAGAUCCUCUCGUUUGGCAACCUCAACAAACGGCAGAUCUUACCGUGAAUGGCCACCUAAAGUCCAGGUAUGUUCUUCUACAGAUCUAAUCUACUUCUUAGUGGGAUCUUCUCCAGCUUUUACCUACUGCCAGAUAUAUUGUUCUCUUUAUUGGUUUGAUUCAAAAUUCUGGGAAUCUGGCCUGAAAUUGGCCAGAUAUCGAUUGGGCAGGUUAAAAAAAUUUAGUCGGAUCGGGGACCACAUCGGCUCGUUGAUGCGGUCCCCAAACCGACUUUUCCUAUACCCGUCGUUAUAAUUCGAUCGUUUGGCCCCAGGGCUAAACAACCGAAUUAGCCUGGAUUCUCCCGAUAUCCCCCACCCGUAGCCAGCGGAUCUGAACGUGUAUGGGCACCUUAAGUCUACAAUGUCCCCCAAACCCAAAGAAAAAAAGUUAUAAAAAGGAAAAGAAAAAGGUACAUUGUCGCAGCUGUAAGGGGGUAACCCCUGGGCUGUUGUGGGGGGGUUAUAGGAGAUUUCAUUUAAGGCAGCCUGUGGGGUUUGAGCAGAGCCGGGCUCAUUCCCUGGGGUUGGAAGUUCUGAGCUAUUCAAGUAUUAAAGGUUAUGACAUGUUAUGUGCUGUUCCAAAUAAAGCGGCUGCGGCCUUUCCCCACCAA